RNAcentral lists this ribosomal RNA (482 nucleotides) under uncultured bacterium. RNAcentral's name for it is "partial 16S ribosomal RNA". It matches the Rfam family "Bacterial small subunit ribosomal RNA", at positions 30 to 507 of the family's 1533-position model. The record is from RNAcentral.
AUUGAACGCUGGCGGCAUGCUUUACACAUGCAAGUCGAACGGUAACAGGUCUUCGGAUGCUGACGAGUGGCGAACGGGUGAGUAAUACAUCGGAACGUGCCUAGUAGUGGGGGAUAACUACUCGAAAGAGUAGCUAAUACCGCAUGAGAUCUAUGGAUGAAAGCAGGGGACCUUCGGGCCUUGUGCUACUAGAGCGGCUGAUGGCAGAUUAGGUAGUUGGUGGGGUAAAGGCUUACCAAGCCUGCGAUCUGUAGCUGGUCUGAGAGGACGACCAGCCACACUGGGACUGAGACACGGCCCAGACUCCUACGGGAGGCAGCAGUGGGGAAUUUUGGACAAUGGGCGAAAGCCUGAUCCAGCAAUGCCGCGUGCAGGAUGAAGGCCCUCGGGUUGUAAACUGCUUUUGUACGGAACGAAAAGCCUGGGGCUAAUAUCCCCGGGUCAUGACGGUACCGUAAGAAUAAGCACCGGCUAACUACGUG